This is a long non-coding RNA of Triplophysa dalaica, 376 nucleotides long. RefSeq lists it as uncharacterized. The record is from RefSeq and is a predicted model, not a curated record. The transcript has 3 exons. NCBI's taxonomy places the organism in Eukaryota, Metazoa, Chordata, Actinopteri, Cypriniformes, Nemacheilidae.
CCAAGGCGACAUGGACCCUUGUGGCCCCUGCGAUUAGCAGGCCUAGUUCCAGUGGAGUUGCUUCGCAGUCGUAUACGCUGAAGAUUUGAUACGAGUCCUACUGAAAGAUAAUAUAGGAAAGCAAAGUGUGGCAUGGCCUCAAGGCUCUGAGUGCUGUUUAAAACUAGAGGACUAGUGCCCCUCUCAGGCUGUGAUGAACCGGAGGAUGCUCUUGGUCUUGGACUAGGGCUGAAUAACUCCGCUCAGAAGACGACAGGCUCAAGUUGGAAGGUGAAGCCAGAUGCUCUGAGCUACUGUAAACCUGAUUUACAUAAUAAAAACAAGUCAAAUCACCCAGAUCCUAUGCAUUAAUGAUUACCCCGCAAAACAAUCGAAC